This 253-nucleotide ribosomal RNA is filed under the name uncultured bacterium. RNAcentral's name for it is "partial 16S ribosomal RNA". It matches the Rfam family "Bacterial small subunit ribosomal RNA", at positions 524 to 776 of the family's 1533-position model. The record is from RNAcentral.
UACGAGAGGCCCAACCGUUAUUCGGAAUUACUGGGCUUAAAGAGUUCGUAGGCGGCAUUGCAAGUAGGGUGUGAAAGCCCUCGGCUCAACCGAGGAAUUGCGCUCUAAACUGCAGUGCUUGAGGAAGCUAGAGGUGAGCAGAACAGAUGGUGGAGCGGUGAAAUGCGUUGAUAUCAUCUGGAAUACCGGAGGCGAAGGCGGCUCACUGAGGCUUUUCUGACGCUGAGGAACGAAAGCCAGGGUAGCGAACGGG